RNAcentral lists this transfer RNA (66 nucleotides) under Ergaula capucina. RNAcentral's name for it is "tRNA-Ile". The record is from RNAcentral. Lineage: Eukaryota; Metazoa; Arthropoda; Insecta; Blattodea; Corydiidae.
AAUGAGGUGCCUGACUAAAAGGAAUAUCUUGAUAGGAUAUAUAACGUAAUAAUUUUACCCUCAUUA